GACGAACGCUGGCGGCGUACUUAACACAUGCAAGUCGAACGGAAAGGCCCUGCUUUUGUGGGGUGCUCGAGUGGCGAACGGGUGAGUAACACGUGAGUAACCUGCCCUUGACUUUGGGAUAACUUCAGGAAACUGGGGCUAAUACCGGAUAGGAGCUCCUGCUGCAUGGUGGGGGUUGGAAAGUUUCGGCGGUUGGGGAUGGACUCGCGGCUUAUCAGCUUGUUGGUGGGGUAGUGGCUUACCAAGGCUUUGACGGGUAGCCGGCCUGAGAGGGUGACCGGCCACAUUGGGACUGAGAUACGGCUCAGACUCCUACGGGAGGCAGCAGUGGGGAAUAUUGCACAAUGGGCGGAAGCCUGAUGCAGCAACGCCGCGUGCGGGAUGACGGCCUUCGGGUUGUAAACCGCUUUCGCCUGUGACGAAGCGUGAGUGACGGUAAUGGGUAAAGAAGCACCGGCUAACUACGUG
RNAcentral lists this ribosomal RNA (468 nucleotides) under uncultured bacterium. Its description in RNAcentral is "partial 16S ribosomal RNA". It matches the Rfam family "Bacterial small subunit ribosomal RNA", at positions 28 to 507 of the family's 1533-position model. The record is from RNAcentral.